Molecule: ribosomal RNA, 252 nt
Filed under: uncultured bacterium
Lineage: Bacteria
Description: partial 16S ribosomal RNA
Rfam family: Bacterial small subunit ribosomal RNA
Source: RNAcentral
UACGUAGGGUGCAAGCGUUGUCCGGAAUUAUUGGGCGUAAAGAGCUCGUAGGCGGUCUGUCGCGUCGGCUGUGAAAUCCCCCGGCUCAACUGGGGGCCUGCAGUCGAUACGGGCAGACUUGAGUGCUGUAGGGGAGACUGGAAUUCCUGGUGUAGCGGUGAAAUGCGCAGAUAUCAGGAGGAACACCGGUGGCGAAGGCGGGUCUCUGGGCAGUAACUGACGCUGAGGAGCGAAAGCGUGGGGAGCAAACAG